Long non-coding RNA from Cyprinus carpio carpio, 4415 nucleotides. Lineage: Eukaryota; Metazoa; Chordata; Actinopteri; Cypriniformes; Cyprinidae. The record is from Ensembl.
AUGAAUAACUUUGAUGGUAUUGAGGAGCCAGUGGUCGUGUCGUCUGUGGGAAAGAAGCGGAAGCCGUCAAAAGACAACCACGAAAGGGAAGUCAGAAAGAGAGUCAGAAACUCAGGCGGUGGCAAAAUACCGGCGAUUGCUUGUUCUCACAGUGAAUCAAAAAACUUUUGUCAUGCCGACAAACUGACAGCUGACGAUCUUGUAAAAAACUUCGACACUCUCUACUGUCAUACCACGAAGGCCGAACAAGACCAAGCAAUUUUACGCCUGAUAACAGUAAAACGGGUACAGCGAAGACGUCCCAAGGUGGCAAUUGAAGAUGCACAGAAGGAGAGGGAGGUCACGAACGAGUACUACUUGCUCUCCAAGGAUCAUCCCACGAAGGUUCCUGUCUGCAAGGCAACUUUCUGUGCAGCGCUGGGUAUUGGCAAAGAUAGAGUAGCUCGAGUGGCAAGAUAUUAUGCAGAGAAUGCUGAGGCCAGACCAGAACGUAGGGGUGGUGCUCGCAAAGUUACAGAAAAUGAAGAAAAGAAGAAACUUGUGAUGGAUCACAUUCAAACAUUCACUUGUAGGGCAAGCCACUAUGGCAGAAGAGGAGCACCUGGGCGGAAAUACCUUCCCAGUGACCUCAGCGUAAAAAAAAUGCAUGAUUUGUUCAAGCAGCAAAAUCAUGAUGCUGUUAGCUACUCUCUCUAUUACAGUGUUUUCCGAUACAGUUUCAACCUUGCAUUUGGACAUCCAGCCACCGACGCGUGUUCUACAUGUGCAAAGUUUCAUCUCACAGUAAAGAACCCCACCUUGCCUGAAGAGGAGAAGCGUACAGCAUCAGCAUCUUUCAUUUUGCAUCGCAGACGAGCAAGGGUGUUUUAUGAUUUGCUUGGGCAAAGUGACAAUGCAGCAUUGACAGUGCUUCGACAUGAUGCAGAAUCUAGUACUCCCAAAAACCCCCAUUGGUCAGGCGUACUACUCCCGCCAGCUCUACAUGUACAUCUUUGGUGUUGUUGUCCAUGCUGGGAAAGGCAGCAAGCAAAGCAAGGAUGACAUCCAUCUUUACACAUGGAUGGAACACGAGAACAGAAAAGACAGUAAUUUGACUGCUUCUGCUCUGAAUCACUUUUUUUGGCAGCCAUUGAAUGUUGCACUUUGCAAUGUUCAGAAGUUGAGAUUAUUCAGUGAUUCCUGUUUUGGACAAAACAAAAAUGUGAAUGUUCUGUCAAUGCUGUUUGCUUUAACAAAGCAGAAUUGUCCUAAUAUGAUCACGGAAUAUGUGUUUCCCAUCAGGGGAUACAGUUUCCUUCCUGUUGACCGCGUUUUCGGGAGGAUUGAGCAGCAGAUUUGAAAGCACAAUACCAUCCUCAUGCCAGAAGAGUACUAUGACAUUUUGAGGAACCAUGGACAUGUCCAUGUCUACGGCCAGGACUGGCAAGCUUAUGAUUUCAAGAAGGCAGCACAGGUUUUUGUAAAGCCACAGAAGUCAUUCAAGCUCAGUGAUGCUAGAAUGCUGGAACUCAGGAAUGACAAACUUGGAUUCAAGACUGUGUACAACAGUGACUUCUGCUAUCACUCGGUUUUGAAGCGAGGACAGAACUGGGAAAACUUCAAGCCGAGUCAGCUCCCAAAUGUAAGCACAGUGAAUGAUGCAAAAAGAACAGUGACACUGUGCGUGCCUUCUAUGAUGGAGCACUCAUUGUAAAUGAUGCCGACCGUGACAGCCCUGAAGAAUAAUUCUGCCGAUUGUGCCUUUUGAGUUCACUGUUUCAGUGCAUAAUAAGUGUGUGUGAACACGUGUGUGUGAGAAAGACCUGAGCAAACAGGAGGAGGAGUUAAGUGAGUGCGGAGAAAGUCUGUGUGUGGUUGGGUGUGUCUAGAUAAUGGCACUUCACAAUGGCACUGAAUUGUAGUUGUCCAUAAUAAAUAGAUAAAUAGAUAAAUAAAUAAAUAGAUAAAUAGAUAGAUAGAUAAAUAAAUAAAUAAAUAGAUAAAUAAAUAAAUAAAUAACAUGCACUACAACAUGAUUAAUGUAUUUCAUAUAUCUGUGUUCCACUAUAAGAAAUUUGUUCAAGUUGGCAUUGUUAUGUAAAUCGACUGUCAUGGUUGCUUAUAGCCCAGUUAUGUUGCACAAUCUCACACAGAUGUAUUGUUUAUUUAAAGUUAUAUUUUGCACAGAAAUGUUAUGUUUUUUAAUGGCACAGAAAUAUUGUUUUUAUGAACAUGUUUUUAUGAAGCAUUGUGAUGGAUGUAUUUUUUAGAAAUCUGUUGUCCAAGUUUGGGACUUGUAUAGAUAACUUACUAUUUAAUACUAUUUAACUUAAUAAUUGUACAGUUUCGUACAUUGUUUUGAAAAUUUAAUGAAUGUAGUGUACAGAAUAACAAGAUGAAUGCAACAGAAACAAAAUUUUGCUCUAAUGUUACGUAUGAGUUCAGGAUGAAUUUGAAAUGGUGCUAUUAACAGCAUUAAUAUCAGACUGAAAUGAAUGCAAUCUGAAAAAGGCAGCGAGAUGAAUGUACUUUUAAAAAUUGGUUUAAUGGUUUAAUAUAAGUGAUGUUGUUCAAGUUUUGGGGUUUGUCAUAUGUAUAGACAACCUUUCCUUGUUAUUUAUUGUUAUGUCUUUGCUCAAUUUCAUACAGAAAGUGAGUUUUUGUUGAUGAAAUGGAUUUGUAGCAUUUUGGGGAAAAACGUGUUAUGGAUAUAUUGCAUUUUGGAGAAAAAAAAAUGUCUUUGUUUAAUAAAUGUUUAAAAUCAAAAUAUGGAUUUGAUUUUUUUUAUGUUAUUACAAACUCAUAAUGAUAUAUUACAGUUUGAAACAGAAAAUAACAGUUUUCAUACAAACAGUCUUUUGGGAAAGAAAAUGCCUUUUUUCUCAAUUUAACAAUUUUGGAUUUAUAGCGUUUUGGAACCAAACUCUUCAAUUCCAGCUGCAGUGUUGAGCUGAUUGCCCAUUGAGAUUUUCUGCAUUAUCCAGUCCUCUUGUGCAUUAAAUUAAUUUUAUCUUUUGUGAAUGAUCAGCCGUUUUGGGCGACUUGAAUAAGUUAGUGACUGUAAAGAUGCAUAAUUCCAGAAAUCACAGAUUUGGAAUGAUCAGCUUCUCUUGCUAUGGCUGAAAGGGUCACCCCAUUUGGCCUUCAUCUGGACAACCUGAUGUCACUUUAGAACGGUUCAUCAUCUUGCAAAGUCAGCUGGAAAGUUAGACUGCUGGUUAAAUAAAGUUUGUCAGAAACUGUAAUUAAGGAAAUUAGCACUGGGUGCCAGAUUAAAAGUUAUCUGAAAGUGUUCUCUAAUUUUGAUAAUUGUUCUCUUUCAAAUAUCUCAUUUAAGUUUUUCUAUACUGUACAAUAUGUUUAACUAAAAUUGCUCAUAAAUAUGCUUAAACUGCUUUCACUCCUGUUUGUAUAACUUCAAAUAGGACUAAGCAGUGACCACGACAUUUAGGAAAUUGUAGGUUGUGCUUUAAUUUUGAUCCACUGUAUUUUAAUAAUCACUUUUGUGUUUUAACUCAACACUUUUGUACUUAAGUUUUUGUUCAACUGUUGUCAUUUCUCAUUGUUAUUCAUGUUAACUGCAUUUGCCCCCAUCUUUAAUACAAAAUUCUGCCAACUUUGAGCAAAUGGAAACAGAGACUAAUUAUUUUCUGUUUGUAAUGUAUAGUAUAUAAUACAUAUAUUGAUCCAUUUCUGGCAUACUAAGCAUGGAUAUGUACCUCUGAGAGAAUUGUUUUUUUUUUGGAAACCAUUUCUUUACUUUUGCCAUUGAGUUAUAUAUUUUUUUGUUGUUGUCAUGUCUUUGUAGACCUGAAGUUAAAUUUUAUAAUUUAAAACAACUUUUUUUUUUUUUUUUACAGUAUGGCAGAGGGAGGGCAGCCACAACUUGGAGACGAAAAAAGUGGGUCUUUGGCAUACUAGGAGUAAAGGAUGAGUGACGACAUCCAGUCUUACGCCUUGUAAAGAGAAGAGGAAGGCAGAAUCUUGUACCAAUCGUGGUCAAGCAUGUGCAACCUGGCACCACUAUUAUAAGUGACGAAUGGAGAGCGUAUAGAGGUGCAUUAGCUGCUAUGGGCUACACUCACUUUAGAGUAAAUCACAGACAGUGGUUCGUGGAGCCCACACCCAGCAUCUCAAGAGAGCGUCUACUAUUUGGAGACUCAGAGGAAACAGAACAGAAAAAAUCCUGAAGCAACACCUCUCAGUCAUUGAAUGGACUCACUGGCUGGCUGACAAACAUAGCCAGGGUCCCCUUGGUAGACUGUUAAAAGACAUUCAUCAUCACUAUCCUGUGUAGGAGUUCACCACAAAACAAGUUUUUUUUUUUGUUUUUUUUUUUAAUAACUAGCUGCUUGUUUUACUAUUGCUGUUAAAAAUAAAAAGUGUUACAUUUGCCUGUUGACAGUACAUCAUGUUUACAGGAGACAUUGUUUUUG